Molecule: long non-coding RNA, 1596 nt
Filed under: Parus major (Great Tit)
Lineage: Eukaryota; Metazoa; Chordata; Aves; Passeriformes; Paridae
Description: lncRNA (ENSPMJG00000015433.1)
Source: RNAcentral
CUUGAGGGAAGCACUGACUGGUGAAUUCCCUAAUCAAUUUACUGUAGCUUCCUUUGCCCUAUUAAGGGUGAAUGUUGUAACAGCACACUGUGAAUAUGCUCCUCCCUUAAUGUGCUCUUUAUGAAAAAGGAAAAAAAUCCCUGUAACUGAAUAAAUCUAAACUGCUUGGUAAACAAACACAAAUGAUAUUAUUUUUCUUGAUAUUUCUAGGGUUCUGGUGGGCACAGCAUUCUUACAGUUUUGGGAUGAUGAGUCAUAUAAAUAUUGCCUCUGUAUUUUUGCAGGAAGAGGAGAGGAUGCUCUUCCAGCUUGGCACUAGCCAGGAAAGUCCCAUAGACCCAGCUCCGGAGCACUUGCCAGCAUACAGGGGCCUUCUGUGGCAGUGGCAUGGGGGCUCUUGUGUCGCUGCUUGGUCCAGGGUCUCGCUGACACUCGGUGACAUUCCCCCUCUUGGCUCUCAGGGGAUCUUCCUGCUCAUUCCAUCCAAGGGGAUCUUCUGGGACAAAAGCUCCAAGACCAGCAAUGAUCCAUGGACUCCUCACAGCCAAGUGUCCUUGGGACUGUUCUGGGAACCAAAAGUCAAGCUGUGAGCAAAGCUCUUCCUCUGCCUUCUCCUCACCCACGUGAACGGUAGCAUUAAUGUAUUCAGCUCUUGUUUCUUGUCCCCAGCUUCCUCUGACUCAUAAAUGGGAAUGCAAAGAAAACCAUCUCCAUAUUGCAACAGAGCUGUGCCUGGGAGGGAACAGGUGAUACCUAAGGCACUGGAGUAACUUGGGAUCAUAAGCCUGCCCUUUCAAAAGCCAGGCUUUCAGGCUUCUGAAGCUGUGAGGCAAAGCCACAGCCUAGCUCGUAGCCCUACACCUUCACAGCUCCACAUUGUGGCUACAGAACAGAUAGUUGUCUGGGGUUACUUACUGAGUCAAUUAAUGAGAUAAAGUGUGAGUGAGAGCGUAUUGGGUAAUUCAGAGGUUGAAAGGCUAUAUUGAAACACAUCUGAUGAUAAUUAAGUUUAACUGUACAAUUUUAUCUGGCCAAACAUAAUUACUUGCGAUUAAAUGUAUGUCAGUGCAGCUGAUUGACACGUACACUGUACAACCAUGGCAUGCAAAGGACAAGGCUUAGGUCAGUUGCAGGAAAAAGUAAAAGAGCAUCCUUGCAGGGAUGAAGCAGGAGAAAAAAGAAAAAAAAUAUUGGCAAUUAACUUCACACAGAGUUUAACACCCAUUUUUAAGGAAAAUAUGUGUCCCAACCUAGAGCUAGAUUUUCUUUAAUUUUCUUCUGGACUCUCUCCUCUGUCAGGUUAAAUGCAGGUGUAACAUACAGGUAUAGUGAUUACAGUAUAGUCCUUUAUUGUGGUUAAUGCUAUGAGUGGAAAGAGUUACUGAAAGGAGGAAAAUGGUGGGUUUAGUAUGGGCAUGACAGGAAUCAAUAGAAGUGUCUGAUGGUAUCCAUAGGACCUGGUGAUUUGCCAGUGUUAAACAAAUGCUGAAGCUGGCUUGUUUUCAUCUAGAACUGCUACUGAUGUGUACUGCUUCGAAAGACAAUUCUACCAACAACCAAAAUAAAUCUUCUUGAAAUGUGGUUUGAACUGACCCU